AACAAUCAAACGCCAUACAAACACUGUGCACUAGGCAACGCACUGUAUGCACCAGGAGUACAGGUAAAGAAAGAAAGAAAGAAAAAAGAAUAACAAUCAUAACUGGUAUUUAUAACCAAACAAUUUAUUAUAAACUAAUUAAUUUGUAGUCAUCCUUAAAGAAAUAGCAUCUAAACCUAAAUUUAAAGUUCAAAUCUCAAUAACUACAAAUCCUUUUAACUUAUUAUAGAUUAUGACAUUUCUUAGUAAAGAAAACCUUAAAACUGUCUACAAUUCCCAUAAUUGCUUAUGGGAUAAUAUCUGUACCGAUAUCAGUUCUACCAUGUUUAUGAUUGAAGAUAAAUGAAACUUUCGAAGUUAGACACAAGUAUGCUCAAAAUUUUAAGACUUUUCAUAUACAGUUAUAAGCAUAUCUCCAUACUCAUGUUUGAAUAUGCAGUAAACAUGAAUGUCCGACACAGAUACUUUAAGAAAAUGAAGAGUCAAGGUAGCAUAGAUUUCAAUUGAUCAAGCAUAUGUGAGAUCCAUCAAUCACAAUUCUUUCUUCUUUUACCUUUUCCUCUUAUGAUGAUCACAUUGCUGUUUGCUUUAUUCAUGAUAGUCAUGGAAUGGCUAUGCAAUUUAGUGUCAUUGAAAGACCUAUUCUUCCGAAAGAUUACACUGCAAUUACUUGAAAUUGUUAUCAACUCUAUCAACUAACUAAAGAUACUCCUUAAACAAGAACAGAUGGAGAAGGAAAGUUAGAGAAAUAUAAAUAUGAAGAAAAUCAAAUUCUAGAACCAAAAUAUAAAAUACAGACAGGACCUAUAACUGAAUAAAAAGCAGAAAGAGGACUUACUAAGCAUGAUAAUGAUACAGAUAAGGUUAAUUCAAUAUUUGAACAGACAAAUUUCCCAUUUAUGUAAACAGCAUCAUCGAUCAAUGUGUGGAAACUAACGGUCCCACCCAGAGGGCCUUCGCCUUUCUCUUGGUCUAUCUCUAGAACUGUCAAAAAAG
Molecule: long non-coding RNA, 996 nt
Filed under: Gossypium barbadense (sea-island cotton)
Lineage: Eukaryota; Viridiplantae; Streptophyta; Magnoliopsida; Malvales; Malvaceae
Description: long non-coding RNA (GBAR_LNC023298)
Source: RNAcentral